This 1481-nucleotide unclassified non-coding RNA is filed under the name Hevea brasiliensis (rubber tree). The record is from RNAcentral. Lineage: Eukaryota; Viridiplantae; Streptophyta; Magnoliopsida; Malpighiales; Euphorbiaceae.
AAGAAAAGAAAAAAGAAAAAACAAUAAAAGAUCUUGUCUUUCCAUUUUACUAAAAAAAUACCCACAUGCCUCUCUUCCUUGUUACUUUGCAGAUGAACUAAAGUUUGUUCAUUUUUUCAAUGACUUUAGUGGGUUAUCUUCAGAAUAUUGUUGGAGGGUGAAUGGGGUGCAUGUUCUCUCAUUUAGCUGCAAAAUUUGCUUUCUUUCCUCCAUCUCCACCUACCUAUCAGAUCAAUAAGAGAGAUGAUGGCAAGGUCACUGUGGUCUCAUCGUCUUCUUCAAUGCCACUUCCUCUUGCUGAUGAUACUUCAUUUGAUGUGCUAUUGAUUGAUACAAAGAAAGGCAACAAGAUUGUUGCUUUUUAUCUGAAAAACCCAUAUGCAAGACUCACUCUUCUCUACUCCCAUGGCAAUGCUGCUGACCUUGGCCAGCUUUAUGACCUCUUUGUCCAGCUCAAGAUCAAUCUCAGAGUUAAUAUCAUGGGAUAUGAUUAUUCUGGGUAUGGAGCUUCCAAUGGUAAGCCAAGUGAAUCUAAUACCUAUGCGGAUAUAGAGGCAGUUUACCAGUGUCUUCAGACAGAAUAUGGAGUUUGUCAGGAAGACAUAAUUUUGUAUGGGCAGUCAGUUGGUAGUGGUCCAACAUUGCACUUGGCAGCUAAGUUGCCAAGGCUGAGAGGUGUUGUUUUGCAUAGUGCUAUUCUUUCUGGUCUUCGCGUGCUGUGCCAUGUAAAGUUCACAUUCUGCUUUGACAUAUACAAGAAUAUAAACAAAAUUCGAAAGGUGAAGUGCCCUGUGCUAGUGAUACAUGGCACGGAGGAUGAUGUUGUAAACUGGUUACAUGGCAAUGGACUCUGGACAUUGGCGAGGGAACCAUAUGAGCCUCUAUGGAUUAAAGGAGGCGGGCAUUGUAACUUGGAAUUGUACCCUGAUUAUAUCCACCAUCUUUGCAAGUUUGUUCAAGAAAUGGAGAGUAUAACCACAGAAAUUCGCCUGAAAAAGAUUAGGCAGAAACUUCGGCUAAAACCAAGGUCUAAGAUUACUGCAUCUAACAAGUGCUGUAGAUUUAAACUAUGGCGGCCAAGAUGCCCUGCAUGUUUCAGAUCGAGGUGCAUAAAAUGUUUGUGUACGUCUAAAUGCAUUGAGUGUUGGAGAUCCAGGUGCCUUAAAUGUUGCUGGCGACCCAAAUGCCCCAAAUGUUGGAUACCCAGUUGUUGCUGCAGUAUUAAAUGUCUAGAUUGGCAGUGCUGCACGGGAACGCAUAGUGGGAUGAAUGGGAAACAGGAUGGCUGAUGAUGACAACAACAACAGGCUUUGUACAGAUUUUUCUGAAACUUACUAACGCCCCCUCUAAUCUUUGUGCAUUUAUUAGUGUACAAAACAAGAGGAAGUAGUAGCUGUCUAAUUACUUGUGGAAACAACAUAAUGCAUGUUUUCAUCAACUUAGUACAUUAUUGAAUUAACAUAAUGCAUGUGGCUUAAGAC